CCAUUAAUACAUUUUUCUACCGUUGGGUGUCACGUCUGACACACCAUGUGAUGGUGUACAGUGCCUACACUUUCAUUUUUCCUCCAAUUGUCCCUCCCACCGACAUAAGAACUCUCUCACCUUUUGGUUGAAACCGACGACAUCCGGCAUAAAUGUUUCCAAACGACCACGAAACCUUCCACACACACAGCCACCGAUUUCAACUGUGGUGACAGUCGCGGCAACGAAGAGUGCGGGAAAAGGGCUCCACGUUGACCGCUUCUUUGCAAUCACUCGCCUGCAAAAAAUCCCCAGUACACAGCUUCUCCACCCAUCGAAAAUGGAGUCUGCAGGAAUACAGGUACUUCCACUUCCUUCGCCUUGUUUCUUGUCCUCAAUUCGUUCAAGCCGCAUUCCAUUUAUUUACAUGGGCAGAAAAGAACUUCAUAAUAAUGACAAAAAAGGACAAAGUUGGCAUUUUGCACAAUUUGAAUUUUAAUGGGAAAAUAAAAUAUUGCAUAGUCCCCACGUCGAUGUGAUGAAAAAAAUACAAUUUGAAAAUUAAUAGAAAACAAACGAGGGCUUAAUAAAUUAUAAAUUUUAACACUUUAUAAUUUAAAUUUUAAAUUAUUCAGAUCACAUUUAAAUUGAUUGAUCAUUAUUCGAACAAAACUCGCAAGUGUACAGAAUUAUUGACAAGCAAUAAUGUGACGAGUUGAUUUAUAGUCCCACGAUGAAUAACUAUUAAUUCUAGAGUACCAGUUUCUACCAAAUUCAAUCUACAUGACACAAAAUAUUUAGAUGUUUUGUAAUUAUUUUAAACUAAAUUAAGAAUACUGUAAAAGAUUGUUUUGUAAAUGAAUGUAUUGAAUUUCAAAAUUCACCUAUUGGUUUCUAUUUCCAAUUCUCGACUUCUGUAAGUUAGUGUUAUUCCGUGUUCGUGACAAUCAAUAAUCCUCUAAUGUCUAAUACUCUUUUUUGAGAUACAUAUUAGACCUAUCCUUAGCACUAUCUAGUUUGAAUUUAUAUGUAAAGCAAGCAUUUAUAUUUUGGAGAGUCAAAUUCACCAUCUAUUCUUAAUUAUCAAUGAUUGCAUUUAAUUAAUUACAAAUUUUAAUACUUUAUAUUUAAAUUAUUCAAAUCACAUUUAAAUUGAUUGAUCAUUGUUCAGACAAAACUCAUAAGCUUACAAGAUCAUUGACAAGUAAUAAAUAAAUUGAGUUAUCGUCGCACGAUGAAUAACUAUUAAUUCUAAAGUGCUAGUUUCUAUCAAAUUCGAUCUAUGUGACACAAAAUAGUUAGAUGUUUUGUAAUUAUUUUAAACAAACUAAUAAAACCUGUAAAAGAUUGUUCUGUAAAUGAAUAUAUUGGAUUUCAGAAUCCACCUAUUGGUUUCUAUUUUCAAUUCUCAAUUUAGGUAAGUUAAUGUUAUUCUCGUGUACAUGGCAAUUAAUAAUCUAGUAAUAUCAAAUAUUCUUUUUCAAAAUAUAUUAAACUUAUCCUUAGCACUACCUUUCCUAUUCCUAGUCUAAACACAUAUAUAAUGCAAGCAUUCAAUCAUACCCGAUUAUCGCACACAAUUGCACAUGCCUUAAAUAUCAUUCAUAAUACCUAGUACCCACGAGUUAAAUAUGCAGUAUUUUACUUAUUGUGAGUCUCUCAACAUUAUGAAUAAGCAAUAGGUUUUCUAAUUGGUAGCUUAGCAAUCAAUUAAAACAAUAUUCAUGCAUACUUAAUCACAAACACGAUAAAUAAUUAAAAUACGAAAAAUCUUAAAUUAGAAAUAUAACAUAAGAAAUUCCAUCAUUCAUUCAAUACACAAGAAAGGUUUAGUCUAAUAUAAUUGUAUCUAAGUUACACAAGAAGUUAAGAGACAUUACCCAAUUCAAAUAAUGGAUGUAGAAAUUUGAGAAAUCAAUUUCUUUUACUUUCUUUCGAUUUGUGCAUUGAAUCUUCAAUUCCUUUUGUUAAUUCUGUCUAAAGCUCGUGUUAGAGUUGCUUCAAUGAUAGGAUAAGUGAUGAUAGUUUCAAAGUACGUUCUAGACGACUCUUUCUCGAUUAAAAAGGUGUAAAAAUAUCAUACUAUAAAGAAUCGAAGUAAGAAAAAGGAAAGAAAAUAUUUCUCAGCCGGAAAGCCAUGCGUACGCAUGGUAUAUGACAUGUCUAUGUAUAGUAGAGUGAUUUUAGCUUCAGUCAUCCUAUAAUGGGGGCUCUUGUAUGCACAGCUUGCAAGCCAAUGCGUACGCAUAGUUUUUCAUUUUGGAGCCAAUUGUGCAAAUUGGUACCUGAACUUUUUGCAAUGAAUUUUUUUAUCCUUUUCACUUGUGAUUUCAUCCAUUUAAUGUCUUCAAUUGAGUUUGUAGCAUCUUCACUCUUCAUUUUAUGUCUCGAUGCAACGAUUGAAAUGUUGCAAUUUAGUUCCCAUAGUUUUAAUUUUGUUAUUCUUCUUUAUUUUUAGCUUGUUUUCUCUAAUUUUUCAUAAAAUCAGGAGUUUUAUCUAAUAAACACAAAUUAAACUAUAUUUUAUCAAAAGAACUACAAAAUGUCAUUAUUUAUAACCCCAAAUAAGCGUAUGAAUCACACUUAUAAAUCAUUAAUUUAUAAAAGAGGUGAUGAGAAAUCAAAAAAUAUUUAAUGGAAAAAAACAAAAUAAAGAGAGUAUUAUUAGAGUGUAUAGAAAAAUUUAUUCUAUAAGUUUAAAUAUACUCUAUUAUACAUAAAAUGUUCUUUAUAAAUAGAGAGUCUUGUGAAAAUUCUCUAAUACUAGAAUUAGUACAUAGAAAGAUAUAGUACAUAUUGCAAAUUGAAAUCUCAAGAGGCAAAUGGGCCCAAAGAGAAAGAUUUUGACUCAAUACUAUUGAUGUAUUUUUCACAUAAUGUCGAACUUUUUUCCAUUAAUGGGUAUAUAUGAUUUUUUUUUAAUUUUUUUGCUCUAAAACUUGUGUAGUGUGAAAGUUUGACAGCUUAUGAGUCAAACGGGCCCAAAUAGGAAGACAAAUGGAUAAGGUAGGCCUAGCCAUGAUACUCAUAAAAUAUUUCCAUCCAUACUAGUAACAAGAUGGCAAAGCUAAUAUAAAUUGGUUCAACAUAUUUUUCAUUCACAUAUUUCAUAAGAUUCACAACUUAUUAACAUUUAAAAACAUUAAUAAACAUGCUCUAUAAGCAAGUUUGUGAGUUAUUUAUUAAAGGAUUCAAGUAUUAAUAAAUAAAAAUGAGUGGAAAAGUGGAGAAGAAUUUAUUAACCACAAAAUAUGAAUAUAGAAAGUGAUAUGAUCAAUUAUAACACAUAAGCCAAACAAUGGUUAAAUGGAUGGAACCUAGAAACAUAUAAUUGUUUUCAAAAGGUGAUUUCAUCAAGAAACAUAAAAUUGAUAGUGCUUUAAUUUCUAUUCCCAUCAAACCAUGUUUAGAUCCCGAGUAUCUAUUGUUUCGACCUUGACAUUUGGUGUGUUCUUCCACUUCCUUUGGUGGUGGCUCAAAGUUACUGAGAUACUACAAAGUGCGCUCUCUCUCCAAUUUUCACUCUCGCUCGAUAUUUAAUUUUGAAAAUUGGGGUUUUAUCCCUUUUUUUGUGUAGCUUGUUUUUGUCCACAAAAUUCAUUUGCUGCUUUUGACGAUUCAACUUGCUAAGUUUUUUCUUGAAGAUUUUUCAAGAAUAAAUCAUGGAUACUACUAUUUACAUCCACAAUUUUUAAAUAUAUAUAUCCACUUUUAAAAAAAUAAUUAUAUUAAGUUUUUUAUCUUAUGUAAAUUUACAUAAGUAGACAUAUAUAAAGUUAAAUAAAAAUAUAUUGUUCUAAAUUUAUCCACUAACGUUUAUUUUCAUAAAUUCUUUUAAACAUUUAUAUAUUCUUAUAGAGUUUGUGAUUAACUAAACUUCUAAUAAUCAUAUAUAAAAUAUCAUCUUUAAUUACAAUCAUAAAACCCUAAUCAUAAAACAUCAUCUUCAAUGGAAAUUUAAAAAAAUAAAUAAAAAAAAUCAACACAUUAUUUGAGUUAUAAUUUGUUCAUGAUAUGAAAACUGGAAUUUUAUUUUUUAUACUUUUUUAAAAUAUUGAUUUGAUAGAUGAAAACAUACGAGAAAUUUCAAAAUAUGUUUCAAUACCUAUCCAAAUAUUCUUCUAUUAUAAAAGGAAACAAAUUUAAAAUUAUCAACUGAAACACAAAAAGCCAAAUUAUGAGCUUAUAAGCAAAAAUAAUAAUUAAUAUAUGAUUCGAUGAGGGAUUCGUUUUGUUUGUGCAGUAUACUCUUGAGAGAAUCCUAUAACUUUAAGAAAAGAGAUUUGCUAACUUUUAUAACUAAAUAUUAAAGCACCAACAUGACAAUAUAGAAAAUAAAAAAUAAGAAUAAGAUUAAAUGUUGAUAGUGAUUUUCAAAAUUGAAUUAGAAAUGUAUUCAUAGUGGGAUGAAUAAAUAAAAUUUGUAUGAAUAUAUAAUGUUUAAAUGAAUGAAUUUAACAAGGACAAUAUUGAAAUUUGAAGUGUAUGAAAAUAGUAAUUUUUUAUAUUUUAAUAGGGGUGUAUAUAGAGUGGGAUGCAUAUAUAAAAACUGCGAAUGAAAAUAAUGGUACCCUAAAUCAUUUGACACUUGGUGAUCAAGUUGAAACUUAUAUUUUUUAUAUACUUCUCUAAUAAAGAAUUUGAAGGAUUGGAUGUCCUUAAAUGUUCUUUGGGAGAAGUUAGUUAUUACGAAGAAAAGUAGAGUAUAUCCAUUUGUUAACAAGCAUUUGACUUUGGAACUACUUCUUCUGGUUGUUAUUUCUGAAAGAGUAUUUCUUGCAAAUGAACGUUGUAAGGAAUGAAUAUCACCAUUGAAUUGGAAAUCAAUUGAUGAAUAACAGUCACAUUGUUUAUGUUGAGAAUUAAAUAUUUUUAAAAAUUGAUAAUGAAAUCAUUUUACAAAGGAAUCGGAGUAUGAAAACUCAUAAAGAACGAUUGUCAGAUAUGUCAUUUUAGUAUUGUUGUGCACUUGUACUUUUAUUCUUUUGAUUUUUCUACCUUCAUUAAAUACAAGCUCAUAUAUUUUGUCACAUUUUUUAUGAGAUGGUAGUUGAAUUGAGUAGCUUUUAGAACCUUUUGAUCUGUUGAGUCGAGCCAUAAUUAGUUUGUAUGACUUGUGUAAUUCACGCAGUCAUUAUCUUUUGCGGACACAUGUUCAUAGUAAUCAAGGUAUUUUGUGUGUCAUGUACAUAAACAUAUGGGACUUGUUGCAUUUUCUGUGGAUUCAUGAAUAUUCGUGUUAAUUUUAUAAAAAAUUUCUAGGGGGUUUAUUCAACCAAUAAAUGGAAAUAGCUAUUUAUUAACCUGGGUUGCUUUCUUUUUCUAAUUUUUGAUGGCCAACUUGCUGUUUUGGUAGAUAACUAUCUGGAAAAAAUGUAUCAUUCCGGCGGCUGAUGCUUCUAUAUGGCAGCCAAAGAAAAUCCUCAAAAUUUUAUGUUUUGAAAACUCCAAUUCCAGUAGCUUUUUUCUUCGUUGGUGGCGGCAGAUUUCCUUGAACUUUUGGUAGAGAAACUGCCUGAAAAAAUUAUAUUUUUCCCGAUGGUUUUUGGGAUGUGGUAAUAUGGUUAAUGUAUUGAUUUCCAUAGACGAUAUCAAUCUAUUGACUCCAAAAAAUAUCACCAACAGAUAUGUUAGGU
RNAcentral lists this long non-coding RNA (5615 nucleotides) under Olea europaea (common olive). Its description in RNAcentral is "long non-coding RNA (OEUR_LNC014785)". The record is from RNAcentral. Lineage: Eukaryota; Viridiplantae; Streptophyta; Magnoliopsida; Lamiales; Oleaceae.